ACUCCUACGGGAGGCAGCAGUAGGGAAUCUUCCACAAUGGACGAAAGUCUGAUGGAGCAAUGCCGCGUGAGUGAAGAAGGGUUUCGGCUCGUAAAACUCUGUUGUUAAAGAAGAACACCUAUUGAGAGUAACUGUUCAAGAGUGAUGUGACGGUAUUUCAACCAGAAGCCCAGG
RNAcentral lists this ribosomal RNA (174 nucleotides) under uncultured Lactobacillus sp. RNAcentral describes it as "partial 16S ribosomal RNA". It matches the Rfam family "Bacterial small subunit ribosomal RNA", at positions 335 to 496 of the family's 1533-position model. The record is from RNAcentral. Lineage: Bacteria; Bacillati; Bacillota; Bacilli; Lactobacillales; Lactobacillaceae.